RNAcentral lists this ribosomal RNA (369 nucleotides) under Triticum aestivum (bread wheat). Its description in RNAcentral is "partial small subunit ribosomal RNA". Lineage: Eukaryota; Viridiplantae; Streptophyta; Magnoliopsida; Poales; Poaceae. The record is from RNAcentral.
AUGGAUAUACAACCACAAGUGCUAUGUUGGAAUGUCCGGGGUCUCAACAACCCGGCCAAGAGGAAGGCGGUUAGGGAGUUUGUUAGCUCGGUUAGGGUGAACUUGGUGUGCUUCCAAGAGACCAAGCUGGAUGUACUGGAUCAAUUUUUAGUUAUGCAAUGUCUUGGGCCAUCGUUUGAUGGUCAUGUGUAUUUGCCGGCCGUGGAGACUAGGGGAGGUAUUUUGUUGGCUUGGGAUAGUAUGGUGCUCAUGGUGGAUAGCUUCGCGCUAGACACCUAUUUUCUCACGGGCAUGGUGCAUACUAAGGUGGGAGAUCCAUGGUGGAUCUCGGUGGUGUAUGGUCCGCAAGAGGUGGAGGCCAAAUGCUAA